UGGUUCAUCCCCACGGUCGUGGGAGACAGCCUAUAAACAGACACGCCCAUAUUAGGGUUAGCGGUUCAUCCCCACGGUCGUGGGAGACAGUGCCUGCAAUUAGGCAAGUUAUCGUCAUUGAUCGGUUCAUCCCCACGGUCGUGGGAGACAGUGUCAGGAGCAGGCGUAUAUGUAACCUCUACUCGGUUCAUCCCCACGGUCGUGGGAGGCAGUUCAUCCUGCUCGUAUUUUUCCUUGUUGAUCGCGGUUCAUCCCCACGGUCGUGGGAGACAGCCGGGUAACCGUUUUGACAGAUAUAUCAAGGGCGGUUCAUCCCCACGGUCGUGGGAGACAGACGUUACCGUUGCGAUCAUUGAUCACCUCGACCGGUUCAUCCCCACGGUCGUGGGAGACAGGCCAUACACCUGUAUUCUAUUUCCGCAAUUUGCGGUUCAUCCCCACGGUCGUGGGAGACAGGACGACCCUGAAUCUAAAGCUGAUUUAAAAGUCGGUUCAUCCCCACGGUCGUGGGAGACAGUCCGGAGGAAAUACACAGGAGUCGCUUGGUGACGGUUCAUCCCCACGGUCGUGGGAGACAGGGCUAACAAUUCCUGCUACAUGUGGGACAUCACGGUUCAUCCCCACGGUCGUGGGAGACAGAGGAACAUGCCUUCCUGAUACACCUGUUCCCGCGGUUCAUCCCCACGGUCGUGGGAGACAGUCCUUUUUAUUCUUGUUUUGGUAGUGCUAGCCCGGUUCAUCCCCACGGUCGUGGGAGACAGAAAUAGAGAGUCUGAAAAGUAAUUAAAAAACCCGGUUCAUCCCCACGGUCGUGGGAGACAGCGUGACAAUGUGCGCUCCAGCCAUACACGCCACGGUUCAUCCCCACGGUCGUGGGAGACAGAGCAAUGGUUUUGACGUGGGCUGUCGUUAGUUCGGUUCAUCCCCACGGUCGUGGGAGACAGGCAAUCUAUAUAAAACCGUUAGUAACCAGGCACGGUUCAUCCCCACGGUCGUGGGAGACAGGCUGCUCCGCUAAUAAUGCCGGACUGAUCCGGCGGUUCAUCCCCACGGUCGUGGGAGACAGCGGUUGGCAUCAGCCCAGAGAUCCGCUGUCCUCGGUUCAUCCCCACGGUCGUGGGAGACAGUACGUGUCCAACAUUGAGCGCAGAAGAAAGGGCGGUUCAUCCCCACGGUCGUGGGAGACAGGGCAAGCGUUCCCAUCAUCAGCUCUUCUGCUGCGGUUCAUCCCCACGGUCGUGGGAGACAGUGGCUGCUGAUGCUGCGGGUCAGCAAUGUAACCGGUUCAUCCCCACGGUCGUGGGAGACAGGUUAUUAAUUUCAUUCCAUGUUGACGAAAGAGCGGUUCAUCCCCACGGUCGUGGGAGACAGGCCUGAACCAACCAUUCCCUUCGUCCUCAUAACGGUUCAUCCCCACGGUCGUGGGAGACAGUUUCUGGCUUCACGGGUGAUUCUUGCUCUUGGCGGUUCAUCCCCACGGUCGUGGGAGACAGACAACCAGUUCGGCUUCACGAUAGCGGCCCCACGGUUCAUCCCCACGGUCGUGGGAGACAGUGUACGACUGUACCUUAGCGUACGAUUUUUUCCGGUUCAUCCCCACGGUCGUGGGAGACAGUGCCGAAUGAAUUGAUAAAUUGGUACUCUUACCGGUUCAUCCCCACGGUCGUGGGAGACAGGAGCCGAAAUGAUAGAAGCCACUUCUUCAGGGCGGUUCAUCCCCACGGUCGUGGGAGACAGUAGACAUCCGCAAUUGCUCAUCUUUCGGUAGACGGUUCAUCCCCACGGUCGUGGGAGACAGCUCGUCUGUUCUGUCCGGAUCAAUGGUGCCAGCGGUUCAUCCCCACGGUCGUGGGAGACAGGCUUUGCUGCCGAUAAUCACGGCUGCAUAGUCCGGUUCAUCCCCACGGUCGUGGGAGACAGUGGCUCGUAUCUCCCAGUGGUCAGGCAAAAGCCGGUUCAUCCCCACGGUCGUGGGAGACAGACAGAAUCAAUGAAAGGUAGUGAGUUACUGCCCGGUUCAUCCCCACGGUCGUGGGAGACAGGCCAGAAGCAGCAUCCAUUGAGAAUGAAGAGGCGGUUCAUCCCCACGGUCGUGGGAGACAGCGUCCCUGACAGGCUGUUGCUGUAAGCACGUUCGGUUCAUCCCCACGGUCGUGGGAGACAGGUGUAGUACUGGCUACAUGCUGGACUGCCGUUCGGUUCAUCCCCACGGUCGUGGGAGACAGAUCAACAUCAACAAUCCGGGACUCGAUAAGCUCGGUUCAUCCCCACGGUCGUGGGAGACAGUGCCUCUGCAAUUCUGCGCCUGUCGUCUGCUGCGGUUCAUCCCCACGGUCGUGGGAGACAGUGAUUCAUCUAACUAAAGACCAGGAAUCCCAGCGGUUCAUCCCCACGGUCGUGGGAGACAGUCUAUCUCCUGAAAAACUACUGGAAGGCUUCGCGGUUCAUCCCCACGGUCGUGGGAGACAGUAGUUUCCUACAGGCAUAAAAAAAGCCCCGCACGGUUCAUCCCCACGGUCGUGGGAGACAGGGGUAUUUUCUGCUUGCCGCCUGUCUCGAACUCGGUUCAUCCCCACGGUCGUGGGAGACAGUGUCGUUCCUUCUGGCGCAUUCUCAACAACGACGGUUCAUCCCCACGGUCGUGGGAGACAG
RNAcentral lists this small RNA (2652 nucleotides) under Endozoicomonas montiporae CL-33. RNAcentral's name for it is "CRISPR DR-spacer array". The record is from RNAcentral. Lineage: Bacteria; Pseudomonadati; Pseudomonadota; Gammaproteobacteria; Oceanospirillales; Endozoicomonadaceae.